UGGGGAAUAUUGGACAAUGGGCGCAAGCCUGAUCCAGCGACGCCGCGUGAAUGAAGAAGGCCUUCGGGUUGUAAAGUUCUUUCGCUAGGGACGAUGAUGACGGUACCUAGAGAAGAAGCUCCGGCUAACUCCGUGCCAGCAGCCGCGGUAAUACGGAGGGAGCAAGCGUUGUUCGGAAUUACUGGGCGUAAAGGGCGCGUAGGCGGUCUUAUAAGUUAGGCGUGAAAGCCCUGGGCUUAACCUAGGAAUUGCGCUUAAGACUGUAGGACUAGAGUACGAGAGAGGAAAGUGGAAUUUCCAGUGUAGAGGUGAAAUUCGUAGAUAUUGGAAAGAACACCAGUGGCGAAGGCGACUUUCUGGCUCGUAACUGACGCUGAGGCGCGAAAGCGUGGGGAGCAAA
Molecule: ribosomal RNA, 400 nt
Filed under: uncultured bacterium
Lineage: Bacteria
Description: bacterial SSU rRNA
Rfam family: Bacterial small subunit ribosomal RNA
Source: RNAcentral